CAGCCGCCGCGGUAAUACAUAGGGUGCGAGCGUUAAUCGGAUUUACUGGGCGUAAAGCGUGCGUAGGCGGCUUCUUAAGUCGGAUGUGAAAUCCCUGAGCUUAACUUAGGAAUUGCAUUCGAUACUUGGAAGCUAGAGUAUGGGAGAGGAUGGUAGAAUUCCAGGUGUAGCGGUGAAAUGCGUAGAGAUCUGGAGGAAUACCGAUGGCGAAGGCAGCCAUCUGGCCUAAUACUGACGCUGAGGUACGAAAGCAUGGGGAGCAAACAGGAUUAGAUACCCCAGUAGUCCCUGUCUCUUAUAC
This 301-nucleotide ribosomal RNA is filed under the name uncultured bacterium. RNAcentral describes it as "partial 16S ribosomal RNA". It matches the Rfam family "Bacterial small subunit ribosomal RNA", at positions 509 to 807 of the family's 1533-position model. The record is from RNAcentral.